UAAGGAAUAUUGGUCAAUGGACGCAAGUCUGAACCAGCCAUGCCGCGUGGAGGAUGAAGGCCCUCUGGGUUGUAAACUUCUUUUAUAUGGGACGAAAAAGGGUCUUUCUAGAUCAACUGACGGUACCAUGUGAAUAAGCACCGGCUAACUCCGUGCCAGCAGCCGCGGUAAUACGGAGGGUGCAAGCGUUAUCCGGAUUCACUGGGUUUAAAGGGUGCGUAGGCGGGUUGGUAAGUCAGUGGUGAAAUCUCCGAGCUUAACUUGGAAACUGCCAUUGAUACUAUCAGUCUUAAAUAUUGUGAAGGUCAGCGGAAUAUGUCUUGUCGCGGUGAAAUGCUUAGUUAUGACAUAGAACACCAAUUGCGACGGCAGCUCACUACGAAUGUAUUGACACUGAGGCACGAAAGCGUGAGAAUCAAACA
Molecule: ribosomal RNA, 422 nt
Filed under: uncultured bacterium
Lineage: Bacteria
Description: bacterial SSU rRNA
Rfam family: Bacterial small subunit ribosomal RNA
Source: RNAcentral